Molecule: ribosomal RNA, 369 nt
Filed under: Triticum aestivum (bread wheat)
Lineage: Eukaryota; Viridiplantae; Streptophyta; Magnoliopsida; Poales; Poaceae
Description: partial small subunit ribosomal RNA
Source: RNAcentral
AUGAUAUCCAAUCUUCCAAAAUUACAAAAGCUUGUAAUCAGAAGUUACUGCUCGAAGCUCAAGACACUGAAAGAGAUGGAUGCACUCAGGCGGCUCCAGCUGACAGUUCGUUCCUGGGAGAAGCAACUUCCAUUCUACCUGCAGACUGUAAGGCCUAGUCAUUUGCUGCUGACCUGCAGCCUUCAAGUACUCACUUCCAUGGCUGCGGGUGAAUCUAGCUCCGAGUGGGACAAGUUCAGUCAUAUCAAGCAAGUCGAGGCUUAUGCAGGGGAUGGAGCAGAUGGGAAGAAAUGGCACGUGCUCUACACAUCCGAACCCUACAACAUGGAGACGAAUAUAGAGCUAAAUCUUCAGUAUGAUAGAGCCUGA